CAGCCGCCACGGGAAUACGUAGGUGGCAAGCGUUGUCCGGAAUUAUUGGGCGUAAAGGGCUCGCAGGCGGUUUCUUAAGUCUGAUGUGAAAGCCCCCGGCUCAACCGGGGAGGGUCAUUGGAAACUGGGGAACUUGAGUGCAGAAGAGGAGAGUGGAAUUCCACGUGUAGCGGUGAAAUGCGUAGAGAUGUGGAGGAACACCAGUGACGAAGGCGACUCUCUGGUCUGUAACUGACGCUGAGGAGCGAAAGCGUGGGGAGCGAACAGGAUUAGAUACCCCCGUAGUCCCUGUCUCUUAUAC
RNAcentral lists this ribosomal RNA (301 nucleotides) under uncultured bacterium. RNAcentral's name for it is "partial 16S ribosomal RNA". It matches the Rfam family "Bacterial small subunit ribosomal RNA", at positions 509 to 807 of the family's 1533-position model. The record is from RNAcentral.